RNAcentral lists this ribosomal RNA (278 nucleotides) under uncultured Bacteroides sp. RNAcentral describes it as "partial 16S ribosomal RNA". It matches the Rfam family "Bacterial small subunit ribosomal RNA", at positions 68 to 339 of the family's 1533-position model. Lineage: Bacteria; Pseudomonadati; Bacteroidota; Bacteroidia; Bacteroidales; Bacteroidaceae. The record is from RNAcentral.
UCAGUUUGGUUUGCUUGCAAACUGGAGAUGGCGACCGGCGCACGGGUGAGUAACGCGUAUCCAACCUUCCGUACACUCAGGGAUAGCCUUUCGAAAGAAAGAUUAAUACCUGAUGGUAUGAUGAGAUUGCAUGAUAGCAUCAUUAAAGAUUUAUCGGUGUACGAUGGGGAUGCGUUCCAUUAGGUAGUAGGCGGGGUAACGGCCCACCUAGCCGACGAUGGAUAGGGGUUCUGAGAGGAAGGUCCCCCACAUUGGAACUGAGACACGGUCCAAACUCC